GAGCCUGGAGUCAUUGUGCGUCUCAAAUGCGCUUCUUUCACCGCGAGACAAAGAGCAGCUUCCACUUCAAACGCAUGUUAUUGCUCUCCAUGAGAACUUUCACACCUUACACGUCACAAUCUGACACUGCUCAACAACUCAUGAGGGCAGUCAUGUGUCCAAAGGCCUUUUAGGUGGAAGAAAAUGGUUCUCAAAUUGUGGAAAGCCAGUGUCCAACAACCAGCAGCAAAACACAUGGACCGGAUCUUACAGUCUGACCGGACUGGACUGGACUUGGUUUGCCUGUGUGAGUAGACAGAUCAUUCAUUCUAUCUUCGUGCCGUGCCGUCCCAUGCCCCAAAUAACAAACUGAUUUCACCUUUUUAUACUUAUACUUAUACUUUAUACUUCUUCUCUGAGAAGUCAGAAGUUAAUCAAGCAUAACCUUCAACCAGGAAUCCAAAUAAAUAACUAUAAUUUGACAUCUUUUUGCCAGUGCUGUUAAAGUAGGGCAGUUGUGUCUAA
Solea senegalensis (Senegalese sole) is the source of this 504-nucleotide long non-coding RNA. RefSeq lists it as uncharacterized. NCBI's taxonomy places the organism in Eukaryota, Metazoa, Chordata, Actinopteri, Pleuronectiformes, Soleidae. The transcript has 3 exons. The record is from RefSeq and is a predicted model, not a curated record.